ACAAGCGGAGGAGCAUGUGGUUUAAUUCGAUGAUACGCGAGGAACCUUACCUGGACUCAAAUGUUGGGCGACAGGUCCAGAAAUGGAUUCUCCCUUCGGGGCGCCCAGCAAGGUGCUGCAUGGUUGUCGUCAGCUCGUGCCGUGAGGUGUCAGGUUAAGUCCUAUAACGAGCGCAACCCCUACGUCCAGUUGCCAGCGGGUCAAGCCGGGGACUCUGGAGGGACUGCCGGCGCAAGCCGAGAGGAAGGUGGGGAUGACGUCAAAUCAGCACGGCCCUUACGUCCAGGGCGACACACGUGCUACAAUGGCCGGUACAGAGGGCAGCCACCCCGCGAGGGGGAGCGAAUCUCGAAAGCCGGCCUCAGUUCGGAUCGGAGUCUGCAACCCGACUCCGUGAAGUUGGAUUCGCUAGUAAUCGCGCAUCAGCCAUGGCGCGGUGAAUACGUUCCCGGGCCUUGUACACACCGCCCGUCAAGCCAUGAAAGUCCGGGGUACCUGAAGUCCGUGACCGAGAGGAGCGGCCUAGGGUAAAACGGGUGAUUGGGGCUAAGUCGUAACAAGGUAGCCGUA
RNAcentral lists this ribosomal RNA (570 nucleotides) under uncultured bacterium. RNAcentral's name for it is "bacterial SSU rRNA". It matches the Rfam family "Bacterial small subunit ribosomal RNA", at positions 925 to 1504 of the family's 1533-position model. The record is from RNAcentral.